GAAAGGGCAAAAUCAUUGAAAAAUGAUGACGCAAAGCUAUAGGGGCUUCGGGCUAGACUAAAAAGGACAAAACCUUUUCCCAAUCAUUCAACUACUCAUGCCAGCCAGCUACCGA
This 115-nucleotide non-coding RNA is filed under the name uncultured Niallia sp. RNAcentral describes it as "Cyclic di-GMP-I riboswitch". It matches the Rfam family "c-di-GMP-I riboswitch aptamer". From Rfam's summary of the family: GEMM was predicted in a large-scale screen for bacterial structured RNA regulatory elements. Genes associated with GEMM are involved in a diverse array of functions, including chemotaxis regulation, signal transduction, secretion and chitin. The record is from RNAcentral. Lineage: Bacteria; Bacillati; Bacillota; Bacilli; Caryophanales; Bacillaceae.